GAUGAACGCUGGCGGCGUGCCUAAUACAUGCAAGUCGAGCGAACGGACGAGAAGCUUGCUCUUCUGAUGUUAGCGGCGGACGGGUGAGUAACACGUGGAUAACCUACCUAUAAGACUGGGAUAACUUCGGGAAACCGGAGCUAAUACCGGAUAAUAUUUUGAACCGCAUGGUUCAAAAGUGAAAGACGGUUUUGCUGUCACUUAUCGAUGGAUCCGCGCUGCAUUAGCUAGUUGGUAAGGUAACGGUUUACCAAGGCAACGAUGCAUAGCCAACCUGAGAGGGUGAUCGGCCACACUGGAACUGAGACACGGUCCAGACUCCUACGGGAGGCAGCAGUAGGGAAUCUUCCGCAAUGGGCGAAAGCCUGACGGAGCAACGCCGCGUGAGUGAUGAAGGUCUUCGGAUCGUAAAACUCUGUUAUUAGGGAAGAACAAAUGUGUAAGUAACUAUGCACGUCUUGACGGUACCUAAUCAGAAAGCCACGGCUAACUACGUG
This 497-nucleotide ribosomal RNA is filed under the name uncultured bacterium. Its description in RNAcentral is "partial 16S ribosomal RNA". It matches the Rfam family "Bacterial small subunit ribosomal RNA", at positions 28 to 507 of the family's 1533-position model. The record is from RNAcentral.